GAGGGUAUAGCUCAGUGGUACAGUGUGUGCUUAGCAUGCAUGAGGUCCUGGGUUCAAUUCCCAGUACUGUCA
This 72-nucleotide transfer RNA is filed under the name Camelus bactrianus (Bactrian camel). It matches the Rfam family "tRNA". Rfam says of the family: Transfer RNA (tRNA) molecules are approximately 80 nucleotides in length. Their secondary structure includes four short double-helical elements and three loops (D, anti-codon, and T loops). Further hydrogen bonds mediate the characteristic L-shaped molecular structure. tRNAs have two regions of fundamental functional importance: the anti-codon, which is responsible for specific mRNA codon recognition, and the 3' end, to which the tRNAs corresponding amino acid is attached (by aminoacyl-tRNA synthetases). tRNAs cope with the degeneracy of the genetic code in two manners: having more than one tRNA (with a specific anti-codon) for a particular amino acid; and 'wobble' base-pairing, i.e. permitting non-standard base-pairing at the 3rd anti-codon position. Lineage: Eukaryota; Metazoa; Chordata; Mammalia; Artiodactyla; Camelidae. The record is from Rfam by way of RNAcentral. RNAcentral also lists the same sequence under 3 other names.